This 446-nucleotide ribosomal RNA is filed under the name uncultured bacterium. RNAcentral describes it as "partial 16S ribosomal RNA". It matches the Rfam family "Bacterial small subunit ribosomal RNA", at positions 338 to 795 of the family's 1533-position model. The record is from RNAcentral.
CCUACGGGGGGCAGCAGUCGAGAAUCAUUCACAAUGGGGGAAACCCUGAUGGUGCGACGCCGCGUGGGGGAAUGAAGGUCUUCGGAUUGUAAACCCCUGUCAUGUGGGAGCAAAUUAAAAAGAUAGUACCACAAGAGGAAGAGACGGCUAACUCUGUGCCAGCAGCCGCGGUAAUACAGAGGUCUCAAGCGUUGUUCGGAAUCACUGGGCGUAAAGCGUGCGUAGGCUGUUUCGUAAGUCGUGUGUGAAAGGCGGGGGCUCAACCCGCGGACGGCACAUGAUACUGCGAGACUAGAGUAAUGGAGGGGGAACCGGAAUUCUCGGUGUAGCAGUGAAAUGCGUAGAUAUCGAGAGGAACACUCGUGGCGAAGGCGGGUUCCUGGACAUUAACUGACGCUGAGGCACGAAGGCCAGGGGAGCGAAAGGGAUUAGAUACCCCAGUAGUC